This is a non-coding RNA of Lactuca sativa (garden lettuce), 1689 nucleotides long. NCBI's taxonomy places the organism in Eukaryota, Viridiplantae, Streptophyta, Magnoliopsida, Asterales, Asteraceae. The record is from RefSeq and is a predicted model, not a curated record.
CUUCUUUCCUCUCUACUUUCCCUCUUGUGUUCAGAGUUUACCAAGGAACACCUCCACCGGAGGUGUUUGUUGACUUGUUACCGGCGAGAAAAGAGGCAGCAGCCUCUCGGAAAUUGCUCCCUGUUUAACCACACUUCGAGAUAGCCAAACACCCUCCCUGGAUCGAUCUUGUUGCUGUCAAUUAUUUCCCUCAAGUGCUGCUGCGAAACAGGAACGAAAAAGGGCGAGAAAGCUGCCGGAAACAUCCCCUGACAACCCGUUUCUGUCGACAGCCCAUGUAGUUGUUUUGGGUAUCGGGUCUUGAACGAAGCACAAACCCCACUGAAUCCUCCCGUCUAAACUCGGGAAUCACGCUCCAAAUGUGUUCAAGGUGGCCAGAAGAACUCUCACCACGUGUGAGGAUGACGGGUUUGACGUUGAAAACAAAUUGUUGGCUCUAUAGUAGCCUUUUGUCUCUUUUAUGUUGUAAGAAAUUGAAAUCCACGUAUAACGCUUUUGGACUAUUAAUCAGUGUGUUUUGUCAUAUUCAUACUUCAGAUGAAUGUAAUGUCAAAUAAAUUCUGUAAUUAUUUCAUUAUAUGUUGUUGACUAUGAUCUAAAUGUUUAAGUCGUAGCCUCAGCGUUUCUGCCGUUGGUCGGGGUGUGACAUGUAAUAUAUUUCCUUGAUAUUACAUGACCAUGUAACACCCAUCUCUGUCCACAAGAUAGUUGUAUCACCUAAAUAAUGUACUUUGUUCGAUUUGUUUCCAAACUUCAUAUAUGAGUCUUAAUGAACUAAGUGAGUUCAAAUUACAUUAUCUUAUCUCAAUUAAGUCCAAUAAUUACUAUAACUUAAUGAUUAAGUCAAUUCAAUGCCACAAGAGCUAUAAAGAAACUCAUGUAACCAACAAACACCAAUUUUGGCUGAAAAGCUUUUAAUAGCUUCUAACUUGUUCCUAUCUAUUCCAACCAACUAAUAUGUUCUUAAUAAACUACAAAAAAAAUUAAUAAACAUCUUAAUGUAACAGCCCGGAUUUCCAGGUAUCUUUUAUGUUUAUGUCUUUGGUGUUUUGAGAGGGGACUCGGUGAGUUGGAGCUCAGACUCGCCGAGUAGGAUCGCGGUUUUGGACGCGGGUUCGCGCCUGGACUCGGCGAGUCCAAGGUAUGGACUCGGCAAGUCUGCACUGUUUAAUGAAACCCUAAUUUCUCAGGUUUGGGACCUAUUUAAAGGGCCUUUAGGCCGUCAUUUGUGCUCACCAUUCCCUUGAGUGAAACCCUAGCAAGUGUGAGCGUUUGGAACAAAGUAGGAAGCCAUUAUUGACCUUGGAGGUAUCUUUUUGCAAGGAAAAAGAAGAAUUAGCUAAGGGAAAGCAAGGGGAGCCACUUCCUGAAGGCUUGAGGUCCAGAACAUCGCAUUUGAGGAGGAUUAUAGCUCGGAGGAUCGAGCACGAGGGAUUUCAGGAUUCGUGAGUCAUCGAGAUACACGAGGUACUAGCGAUGACCGUGGGAAGGCGUCGGCUUGAUCUGUACACACGCAUGGGAUUUUUGAUAUACAUUGAUCUUGGGAUUUUGUAUAAUGUGAAUUGAGAUUUAAACUUGAUGUUUUUAUGAAAAGUUAAGAAGAAAUGUUUUCAUAAAUUGUGAAAAAUUAUUUUGAAAUUCACGGUGUUACACUUAAUAACUCAAAAAUAGAAGUAUCGAAAACUUGGA